AACCAAUUACCGACGUAAGGCGAGGUAUACCUGUAUUUGUGUUUAAAUGCUGUUGGAAGAAUUUCCUGAAUAUUUUUCCUGGUUGUCAUUAUUAAUAUUUUCCUUAUACAAAUGUUUAUGCUUGUUACAGUCAAGAUGUAAUUUUUGUUCAGAUUUUAAACAUAAUUCAGUUUACUCGGAAGUAAAAGGUAACCUUGAUGAUAUAUAUAUAGCUUACUUAUUUUCCUUAUUCCUGCUACUCAUUAUCAUUAUCAGACAUGGCUGAAGUCAGACAACUGAUACAAAGCAUCCUCCUCUUGGUUUUACCAAUUUUCUAUGGGUGGAUUGUCUUAUUGUUUACAGUUUAUAGAGCUAUUAAAAAUGGAAAGAAAUUCUUCAAAACUGAAAUAGUUGAUGCUCCAAAAGCUCUUUAUGAUCCUAAAUUGGGAAAACAUGGAUUCAUUGAACUGAAAAAUCAGGUAAAAUUUACUUUAUAAUUGAUUGAUCUUUCUAAAUAUUUAUAAAAUACAAGAUUUGUAAUACACAAAUUAACUAAACUGCAUUUAAACUGUAAUGUUAAAUGUCUUAAAAUUAUCUUCCAAUGUCAUAUCUCG
Long non-coding RNA from Centruroides sculpturatus (bark scorpion), 593 nucleotides. RefSeq lists it as uncharacterized. NCBI's taxonomy places the organism in Eukaryota, Metazoa, Arthropoda, Arachnida, Scorpiones, Buthidae. The transcript has 3 exons. The record is from RefSeq and is a predicted model, not a curated record.